UACGUAGGGGGCAAGCGUUGUCCGGAAUCAUUGGGCGUAAAGAGCGUGUAGGUGGCUCGGUAAGUCCGCUGUGAAAGUCCAGGGCUCAACCCUGGGAAGCCGGUGGAAACUGUCGAGCUCGAGUCCGGAAGAGGCGAGUGGAAUUCCUGGUGUAGCGGUGAAAUGCGCAGAUAUCAGGAGGAACACCAAUGGCGAAGGCAGCUCGCUGGGACGGUACUGACACUGAGACGCGAAGGCGUGGGGAGCGAACGGG
This 253-nucleotide ribosomal RNA is filed under the name uncultured bacterium. RNAcentral's name for it is "partial 16S ribosomal RNA". It matches the Rfam family "Bacterial small subunit ribosomal RNA", at positions 524 to 776 of the family's 1533-position model. The record is from RNAcentral.